This 1515-nucleotide ribosomal RNA is filed under the name Triticum aestivum (bread wheat). RNAcentral's name for it is "partial small subunit ribosomal RNA". Lineage: Eukaryota; Viridiplantae; Streptophyta; Magnoliopsida; Poales; Poaceae. The record is from RNAcentral.
CGCUGCACUGCGCAGCAGAUCAUCGCACCACUACCAGGGCGGGAGCUAAAGCUUAGGAUUAGUCUAUACGCCGACGACGCCGUCAUCUUCAUAAAUCCUGUGAGGGAAGAGAUAGAUGCACUCAUGGAAAUCCUGCGGGAUUUUGGCGCUGCCUCCGGAUCACACAUCAACCCAUCAAAGUCAAUGGCCUUACCCAUUAGAUGUGAGAAUAUAGACCUAAGGUAUGUGUUGCAAAAUUUUGGAGGGGCAGAGGGGCAAUUCCCGACCACUUAUUUAGGCUUGCCGCUGACACUAGCUAGGCUACGACUGGAAAACCUACAAUUCAUCAUUGACAGGACCAAAGCUCGACUUGCGGGUUGGAAAGGAAAACUCCUGCCGAUAGCUAGUAGGCGAGUACUGGUCCGAUGUGUCCUCAGCGCUAUGCCUACCUUUGCUCUAACUGUUCUCAAAGUGCCAAAGAAGCUACUCAGGGAGAUCAACAGAUGCCGGCGUAGGUUCCUUUGGAAGCAAGACGAGGCGAUCACAGGCGGUAGCUGCAAGGUUAACUGGUCCGCGGUGUGCACUCCUACAUCACAUGGAGGACUGGGGAUCCUCGAUCUCGAGCGUUUCAGCCGCGCCCUUAGAUUACGAUGGCUCUGGAUAGCCUGGACGGACCCUGAGCGGCCCUGGGUCGGCAUGGAGCCACCAUGCAGCAGCAUCGACAAAGCCCUUUUCACAGCGGCGACCACAGUCACCAUCAGAGAUGGCGCGAAGGCACUCUUCUGGCACUCCCCUUGGUGCGGGCCGUGCACCCUGGCCAGUUCCUUCCCUCUCCUCUACUCGCACUCCAACCGGAAAAACAGGACGGUGCGCGAGGCUCUCACACAUGAUACUUGGAUAAAAGACUUGCGGCACAGAAACCUACAACCUCUGCUACCAGAAUUUGUCAGGCUGCACCGCAAGAUCGCGCCGACAGUGCUAACAGAAGGGAGUACUGACCAGAUUAGGUGGAAUCUAGAGGCUAGGGGACAAUACUCGGCAAGCUCGGCUUACGCCGUGCAAUUCCAGGGCAGAUUACUAGCUGAUUGGCACAAGUUGAUUUGGGAAGCAAAGGUUCCUGGAUGCAUUAAGAUCUUCUCCUGGCUCCUACUGAAAAACCGUCUAUGGACUUGUGACAGGCUACAAAGGUGUGGUUGGCCGAACUGCUAUUUCUGCCCGCUCUGUGUACGCAACCUGGAGACAGCGCACCACCUCUUCUGGAGCUACCCACUAGCCCGGGAGGUGUGGGAGAAGGUAGCCGCAAGACGUGGGUGUCGGCGCUUGCACCCACGGCAACAGGUGCAAGAUGAAAGCGCCAUUGCCAUACUCCAACGGAUGGCUGCAAAUACCCGGCCAGCACAACAAAGGGCCAGCAACGCCACCAUGCUGUUAACUUGCUGGGAAAUCUGGCAAGAAAGGAAUAGGUGUGUGUUCAAAGGAAAGACAGCUUCAGCGCAGGACAUCAUCAAGGCCAUUGAACAUGCCAUCGAGCUUUGA